RNAcentral lists this ribosomal RNA (495 nucleotides) under uncultured bacterium. RNAcentral describes it as "partial 16S ribosomal RNA". It matches the Rfam family "Bacterial small subunit ribosomal RNA", at positions 28 to 505 of the family's 1533-position model. The record is from RNAcentral.
GAUGAACGCUGGCGGCGUGCCUAAUACAUGCAAGUAGAACGCUGAAGGAAGGAGCUUGCUCUUUCCGGAUGAGUUGCGAACGGGUGAGUAACGCGUAGGUAACCUGCCUGGUAGCGGGGGAUAACUAUUGGAAACGAUAGCUAAUACCGCAUAACAGUAGAUGUUGCAUGAUAUCUACUUAAAAGGUGCAAUUGCACCACUACCAGAUGGACCUGCGUUGUAUUAGCUAGUUGGUGAGGUAACGGCUCACCAAGGCGACGAUACAUAGCCGACCUGAGAGGGUGAUCGGCCACACUGGGACUGAGACACGGCCCAGACUCCUACGGGAGGCAGCAGUAGGGAAUCUUCGGCAAUGGACGGAAGUCUGACCGAGCAACGCCGCGUGAGUGAAGAAGGUUUUCGGAUCGUAAAGCUCUGUUGUAAGAGAAGAACGAGUGUGAGAGUGGAAAGUUCACACUGUGACGGUAUCUUACCAGAAAGGGACGGCUAACUACG